ACCACCGCAUGUGUAGAAUGUCUUACUAUUUGCGAUAACACGCAAUCAAUACAACUUUCAACAACGGAUCUCUUGGCUCUCGCAUCGAUGAAGAACGCAGCGAAAUGCGAUACGUAAUGUGAAUUGCAGAAUUCAGUGAAUCAUCGAAUCUUUGAACGCACCUUGCGCCCCUUGGAAUUCCGAGGGGCACACCCGUUUGAGUGUCGUGAACAUCCUUCAACCUUUCUUGGUUUCUUGACCGGGGAAGGCUUGGACUUUGGGGGUUUUUCAUUGCUGGCCUCCCUUGAAGCCAGCUCCUCCUAAAUGGAUUAGUGGGGUCUGCUUUGCCGAUCCUUGACGUGAUAAGAUGUUUCUACGUCUUGGGUUUCGCACUGUCGCUUCAGACCCCGCUUCAAACAGUCUUGCAUCUAAGACAGAGUUUUAUAAACCUUGACCUCAAAUCGGGUGAGACUACCCGCUGAACUUAAGCAUAUCAAUAAGCGG
This 483-nucleotide ribosomal RNA is filed under the name uncultured fungus. RNAcentral's name for it is "eukaryotic LSU rRNA". The stretch from base 53 to 206 matches the Rfam family "5.8S ribosomal RNA". The record is from RNAcentral. Lineage: Eukaryota; Fungi.